UCUGCCAGGGAGCGUCCUGUGAUGGAGGGGCUGCACUGCCACUUUACUGAUGAGGAAAUUAAGGUUCAGAGAGAUGAGGUCAUUUCUUAGAGGCCAGACAGCCUCCUCAGCCCAUUUAUAAGGUUGUUUCUGUGGUAUUUGCCAUAAAGCCAUAGGUUCAUUGAUUUGUUCUUAAGUAGUUCUGAGCCCUUCCUGCAUAUCAGGCAGGGACAAACAGGAAAGUCCCUGCCUUUGGCAAGUGCGGGGGAAAUGAAAUGAUUCUGCUUAGCCGCAUCCAUUGGUCUGAACAAUCACGUCUCAUGACCGCAGGGACGCGGCUUCCCCUGAAUGCGGAUCCUAGAGGCCAGGCAGAAGCAGCAUGGGUUUCCACUCACACGGUAGGUGGCUGUGCAAUUUCGUCUGGAGUCCCCAGACCCCUCCUCAUCCUUCCCAGGGUUGCUCUGAGGCCAUUCCUCGUCAUCUAGGAGGGGUCUACAUAAAAGCAUUUAUAAACACCUCCAAAUGGGAGCCAGGUGCGCCCACCUUUGGAGCACUUUUCUCUACUGCAGAUCUAUCUACUGCUCAUGAAAUCUCUGGAUUUAACUCUGAUGAAAGACUGGAGGCUGAAGGAGAACUUCAAUAUCAUAUAUUUUAAAGGUUGACUCACAGUUUGGAGCAAGAAUUAAAGAACCACGAACUUCAAGGUAAAACGGGCAACGGCGUUGGGGCAAGCCUCUCUGCACCUGCGUGUCCAGCCUCUCCUGCAUGCCAGAAGUCCCCAGGCAGGAGUGUGGUGGGACAUCCGGCUGGGGUGAUGUAAAAUUCUCAAACAAUGAGAUAGAUAAAAAGUACGCAGCCAAAAAGUUCAAGAAGAAGUGUUAUGGAGAUGGAGCAGGCCCUUCGUAAAAACACGAUGUUGGUUUUCUGGAUUUUGUAUGUUUGCUUUUUUUUUUUCCUCAUCCUAAAGAAAUAUUCACUGUCAUACCUAA
Molecule: long non-coding RNA, 968 nt
Filed under: Homo sapiens (human)
Lineage: Eukaryota; Metazoa; Chordata; Mammalia; Primates; Hominidae
Description: HSALNT0352215
Source: RNAcentral